CGGCCCGAUCGACAGGCCGGUGCGAAUGCUCGGCUCGGGCGUCGCAAACAGCAGGCCGGACGGCGCGCGCUGCGACAUCAGCAGCGCCCACAGCGGCCGCGCGUCGUCCGAGCGGCCGGCCGCCUGCAACGCGAGCGCCGCCUGCGCGGUGCCUUCGGUCCAGACACCGUCCGGAUGCGCGUUGAAGCCGUAGCCGCCGUCGAUGCGAUGCGCGCGCUCGACCCACGCGAGCGAGCGGCGCCAGUCGGCGGGCGCAUCCGGCAUCGCGAGCAGCGGCCAGAGCGACGCGUCGAGCGCGGACGGCCCGGUGUUCGGCGUGUGCCCGUCGUCGCGCGUGCCGAUCAGGAAGCGGCCGUCGCCCGGCUCCCACAUCGCCGACACGAAGCGCCGCGCGCGCCCGGCGACCGCGUGCCAGCGGGCGUCGCCCGUGCGCGCCGCGAGCCAGCGGAAGACGGCGUACGCAUCGACGUUGUGCUCGGUGGAUUUCCAGCCCUGGCGGAGCGGCUGCGGCUCAUGGCCGAACUCGCCGCCGACGUAGCCGGCCGGCGCCGUCGCGUCGAGCCGGCCGGGGUCGACCCAGCCCAUCAGCGCGGCGGCGCCGUCGAGAUAGCGCCGCUCGCGCGUCGCUUCGUACACGGCGAGCAGCGACAGCGCGGCCCACGCGACGUUGCCGGUCGCGGUGCCCGCCUGAUAGGCGUCCUCGAACCAGCGCUUGCUCGGCGUGUCCCACCAGCCGGGCAGCGGUGCGGGCCCCGGCGGCAGCGCACCCGCGCGGUACGCGUUGCGCACGCGCGCGUCGCGGUAGUGGCGAUCCUGCCGGCUCGCCUGCAGGAUCGCGUCGGCGAUGCGGCGCGCGUCGCCGGGGCGGUGGCAGGCAAUGAGCGCGAUGCUCGCGAGCGCGUUGUCAUAGACGAACGCGGCCUGCGUCAGCGCGCCCGCGAGCGCCGCGCCGCCGGGCGCGGGCUCGUAGCUGCCGAGAAAGACGGGCCCCGAGCCGGGAAGCGCGUGCACGCGCUCGGCGAGCGUCUUGCAUCCGGCCGCGAGCAGCGCCGCGCGCGGCGGCUCGGCGCCGGCGGCGCCGUGGGCGACGAACAGCAGCGAGGCCAUCGGCCCGAUCGCGAACGAUGCCGCACGGCCCAGGCGGCGGACGAGGUGAAAUCUCAUCGGCAUGGGGCUGCGCGCGCUCAGGCCGCCGAUUUCAGAUCGUCGAGCCAGCGUCGGGCCGCGCUCGCCCGCUCGUUCAGCCAGCGCCGCCCGUCCGCGGCCAGCUCGCCGAGCCGGCGGGCGGCGUUCGUCGCGAAGUCCUCGAGCCGGCGCCGGGCUUGCACGCCGGCGUCGCGCAGCCAUUGCCCGCCGCGCGCGAGCGCCGAACGCGCGCCGGCGGUCCAGUUCGGAUCGACGUUCGCGAGACCGGACACGUUGCUCGCGAGCCAGCCCCGAUCGAGGCUGACUCUCGCCCAGCGCCCCAUCGCGCAGCGCGCGUCCGGCCGGGCGCUCGCGCGGCGCGACAGCGGCGCGAGCGGCUCGUCGAGCUUCGCGAUCACAUAGAUCUCGUUCUUCUCGAUCGGCGGGAAGGGCACGAAGUAGCGCGCCUGCUCGCCUUCGGACGCGCGCGGCAGCACUUCGGCGAUCGACGCGGGCAGCACGGCCGGCACACCGUCCAUCCGCACGUUCAGAUGCGUGCCGGGCAGCAGGUCGUCGCUCAGGCUGCGCGGGAACACGGCGACGACACGCGAGCGCGCGCAGUUGCUCGCACGGAUCAGCGUCGCGCCGGCGGCGACGCGCGUGCCGGGCGGGGCGAGCACGUCCUCCACGACGCCCGGCUCGCCCGAGCGGAUCUCGAUGCGGCUCAGCCUGUCGAGCCGCUGCUGCUCGGCGGCGAUCAGCUUGUCGACCGACUGGCCGUAAGCGUCGAACUGCGCGAUCUCGGCCUUGCGCUGCGCGAUGUCCGUGCCGAGCAGCCGGCCGCGCUGCGACAGCGACGCGGCCGGCCCGUCGGUGGCGGACGCGUAGACCUUGCUGCGCGACGCGUCGCCGUUCGCGACCGCGUGCUCGAGCUCGGCGGCCGCGGCCGCUUUCGCGUUCGACAGGAUCGAUAGCUGAUAGCGCGACGCGCUGGUGUACGCCUCGCUCACGGCGCCUGCCCACUGCAUCGCCUGAUUGCGGUUGACGAUGUCUUCCUGCUGGUCCACCUGCGCGCGCGCGACCGCGAGCCGCGCCUCGAGCGCGCGGAUGGUCGCCGCGUGCUCCUUCUGUGCCACGGACUGAUAGCGCUGCAGAUCGUGCUCGGUCGACGCGAGCUGGCUCUCGUCGCCCGCGAGCUCGGCGCGCGCCGCGUCCUCGCGCUGCUGGUUGUCGAGCUUCUUGCCCGUCAGGUCGAUCAGCAGCGCGCGAUCGACGUUCGGGUUCUGCACGGUCGCGAGCGGCUGGUUCGCGUCGAACGGCUUGCCGGCCGUCACGUGCUGCUCGGUCACGACGCCUUCGACCGGCGACGUGACGAGCGUCACUUCGUUGUUGACGACCGCGCGCUCGGACGAGCGCGUGAAGACGUUCGGAAACAUGAUGGUCAGCACCAUCCAGAUGACGAAGAACACGACGCCGUAGCCGGCGGCGCGCGGCACGAGCGUCCAGAGCGGACGCGGCGCGCGGCACCGGUUCGUCGUGCGUGACGAGCGACGAAGCGUGCGCGUCGGUCGGGGGAUUCUCCCGUGACGGGUCGGACAUGUUGCCCUCCUGCAUCGCAAAAGCGCGAACGAUGAGACAAAAGACAGGCGCGCACGCGCGGCCCGGUGCCGCGCGCGUCGACGUCGACGGGAUCGACGGCGACAGGCGGGCCUCCUUGCGAACGUGCGUUGGCGCGCAAAACGG
This 2868-nucleotide ribosomal RNA is filed under the name Burkholderia mallei 2002721280. RNAcentral describes it as "23S ribosomal RNA". The record is from RNAcentral. Lineage: Bacteria; Pseudomonadati; Pseudomonadota; Betaproteobacteria; Burkholderiales; Burkholderiaceae.